Molecule: long non-coding RNA, 424 nt
Organism: Passer domesticus (house sparrow)
Lineage: Eukaryota; Metazoa; Chordata; Aves; Passeriformes; Passeridae
Exons: 2
Source: RefSeq, a predicted model, not a curated record
UUGCCAUUGCCAAUGCCAUUCCAAAUGCCAUUCCAGUUGCCAUUGCCGUUGCCGUUCCAAAUGCCAUUCCACUUGCCAUUGCCAAUGCCAUUCCAAUUGUUGUUCCAGUUGCCAUUGCCAAUGCCAUUCCAAAUGCCAUUCCAGUUGCCAUUGCCAUUCCAAUUGCUAUUGCUAUUGCAGUAUGUCAGCUCUACAACUCUCAGGACAUCGAGGAAGGAAGAAGCAUAUGAAGAAAUGGACCGAUGAUCCCCAGGACCAGGAGCCUGCUACUCCUCCUGAAUCUUACCCUGCUCUCUUCUGCCAGGCGGGCCAGGUUAUCAAAGCGGGGCAUCUCGCUUCUGUUCAUGAUGGAAAUGUAGCAGGCGUUCUGUUGCGUGACUUUGGUUGCAAUGACGCCCUGGGAAAUGAAAUUAUUCCGCACUCA